AGUGAACGCUGGCGGUAGGCCUAACACAUGCAAGUCGAACGGCCGCACAGUAAGAGCUUGCUCUUACGGGUGGCGAGUGGCGGACGGGUGAGGCAUACAUCGGAAUCUACUUUUUCGUGGGGGAUAACGUAGGGAAACUUACGCUAAUACCGCAUACGACCUACGGGUGAAAGCAGGGGAUCUUCGGACCUUGCGCGAUUGAAUUAGCCGAUGUCGGAUUAGCUAGUUGGCGUGGUAAAGGCCCACCAAGGCGACGAUGCGUAGCUGGUCUGAGAGGAUGAUCGGCCACACUGGAACUGAGACACGGUCCAGACUCCUACGGGAGGCAGCAGUGGGGAAUAUUGGACAAUGGGCGAAAGCCUGAUCCAGCCAUACCGCGUGGGUGAAGAAGGCCUUCGGGUUGUAAAGCCCUUUUGUUGGGAAAGAAAAGCAGCAGGUUAAUACCCCGAUGUUCUGACGGUACCCAAAGAAUAAGCACCGGCUAACUUCGUG
Molecule: ribosomal RNA, 492 nt
Filed under: uncultured bacterium
Lineage: Bacteria
Description: partial 16S ribosomal RNA
Rfam family: Bacterial small subunit ribosomal RNA
Source: RNAcentral